UCGACGGGGUCCUGGAGCCGCGCUCGGGGAGGCGUCUUGGGCUCGCCCCGGAGCUUCCUCCCUGGAGCCGCGCCCUGCACCCGGCCUUGCCCGGCCCUAGCAGGGAAGCCAAGGCUUGUGGGGCGCAGGGACCCGGGCUCUGCGGGGUCCCGGUUCCGCCUCCCCACUCCUGCGUCUUCCCGCCCCUGCCGGGUUCUGGGAAGCCUCGCGCGGCUCUUCCGCAGCUGCUGCGCACCAUGACUCCUGUGAGGAUGCAGCACUCCCUGGCAGGUCAGACCUAUGCCGUGCCCUUCAUCCAGCCAGACCUGCGGCGAGAGGAGGCCGUCCAGCAGAUGGCGGAUGCCCUGCAGUACCUGCAGAAGGUCUCUGGAGACAUCUUCAGCGCAGGAUCUCCCAGCAGGUAGAGCAGAGCCGGAGCCAGGUGCAGGCCAUUGGAGAGAAGGUCUCCUUGGCCCAGGCCAAGAUUGAGAAGAUCAAGGGCAGCAAGAAGGCCAUCAAGGUGUUCUCCAGUGCCAAGUACCCUGCUCCAGGGCGCCUGCAGGAAUAUGGCUCCAUCUUCACGGGCGCCCAGGACCCUGGCCUGCAGAGACGCCCCCGCCACAGGAUCCAGAGCAAGCACCGCCCCCUGGACGAGCGGGCCCUGCUCAGGAGAAGCUGAAGGACUUUCCUGUGUGCGUGAGCACCAAGCCGGAGCCCGAGGACGAUGCAGAAGAGGGACUUGGGGGUCUUCCCAGCAACAUCAGCUCUGUCAGCUCCUUGCUGCUCUUCAACACCACCGAGAACCUGUACAAGAAGUAUGUCUUCCUGGACCCCCUGGCUGGUGCUGUAACAAAGACCCAUGUGAUGCUGGGGGCAGAGACAGAGGAGAAGCUGUUUGAUGCCCCCUUGUCCAUCAGCAAGAGAGAGCAGCUGGAACAGCCCAGAGAACUACUUCUAUGUGCCAGACCUGGGCCAGGUGCCUGAGAUCCAUGUUCCAUCCUACCUGCCUGACCUGCCCGGCAUUGCCAACGACCUCAUGUACAGUGCCGACCUGGGCCCCGGCAUUGCCCCCUCUGCCCCUGGCACCAUUCCAGAACUGCCCACCUUCCACACUGAGGUAGCCGAGCCUCUCUCAGACCUACAAGAUGGGGUACUAACACCACCCCCACCGCCCCCACCACCACCCCCAGCUCCUGAGGUGCUGGCCAGUGCACCCCCACUCCCACCCUCAACCGCGGCCCCUGUAGGCCAAGGCGCCAGGCAGGACGACAGCAGCAGCAGCGCAUCUCCGGCUCCAGUCCAGGGAGCUCCCAGGGAAGUGGUCGACCCCUCCGGUGGCUGGGCCACUCUGCUAGAGUCCAUCCGCCAAGCUGGGGGCAUCGGCAAGGCCAAGCUGCGCAGCAUGAAGGAGCGAAAGCUGGAGAAGCAGCAGCAGAAGGAGCAGGAGCAAAGUGAGAGCCACGAGCCAAGGUGGGCACUUGAUGUCGGAUCUCUUCAACAAGCUGGUCAUGAGGCGCAAGGGCAUCUCUGGGAAAGGACCUGGGGCUGGUGAGGGGCCCGGAGGAGCCUUUGUCCGCGUGUCAGACUCCAUCCCUCCUUUGCCGCCACCGCAGCAGCCACAGGCAGAGGAGGACGAGGACGACUGGGAAU
This 1629-nucleotide long non-coding RNA is filed under the name Homo sapiens (human). RNAcentral describes it as "non-protein coding lnc-WASHC1-4:1". The record is from RNAcentral. Lineage: Eukaryota; Metazoa; Chordata; Mammalia; Primates; Hominidae.